Molecule: ribosomal RNA, 492 nt
Filed under: uncultured bacterium
Lineage: Bacteria
Description: partial 16S ribosomal RNA
Rfam family: Bacterial small subunit ribosomal RNA
Source: RNAcentral
AGUGAACGCUGGCGGUAGGCCUAACACAUGCAAGUCGAACGGCAGCACAGUAAGAGCUUGCUCUUACGGGUGGCGAGUGGCGGACGGGUGAGGAAUACAUCGGAAUCUACUUUUUCGUGGGGGAUAACGUAGGGAAACUUACGCUAAUACCGCAUACGACCUACGGGUGAAAGCAGGGGAUCUUCGGACCUUGCGCGAUUGAAUGAGCCGAUGUCGGAUUAGCUAGUUGGCGGGGUAAAGGCCCACCAAGGCGACGAUCCGUAGCUGGUCUGAGAGGAUGAUCAGCCAAACUGGAACUGGAACACGGUCCAGACUCCUACGGGAGGCAGCAGUGGGGAAUAUUGGACAAUGGGCGCAAGCCUGAUCCAGCCAUACCGCGUGGGUGAAGAAGGCCUUCGGGUUGUAAAGCCCUUUUGUUGGGAAAGAAAAGCAGCAGGUUAAUACCCCGCUGUUCUGACGGUACCCAAAGAAUAAGCACCGGCUAACUUCGUG